UACCGAUAUGGUCACUUGACUCACUUCGAUUCACGCCUGUGUCCACAACGAUGACGAUGAAACGGAAAAGAGAAGUGACAAAACAAGUGAACAGCAUGCCAAAUCAUGGUGGAGAAAACAAACACCCACCUUUCAUUGAGAUAACAGACUGGGCAUAAUUUAAUCUUAGUCAAAACGUGCUUACAUUUUUCGACAAGUUACAAAUAUUCACAAGUAUUGCUGCGGUGUAUAAUUGUUUAGUUCUACAACAGUUUGAAAAGCUCGGCAUACUGUUGUCUGACAUCUAACAACAUGUCUCAUGACUAUGGGAGUGCUUUCUCCACCUACCACAGUGAGGCGCCACGCGACACGUCUACAGAGUUCACACGUCUUUCACAAGUGGUUAGCAGUAAUAUCCAAAAGACACAACAGAAUGUUGCUCAAAUCCAAAGAAUGGUCAACCAACUUGGGACCCCGCAGGAGACAGACCAGCUGUGGAGUAAACUCGGACAGAUUCAGCAUUAUACUAAUCAGUUAGCGAAAGACACAAGCAAAUAUCUAAAGGAUAUAUCACGCAUUCCUGUAGCUCCCUCCUCGGCGGACCAGAAAUUACGGAAGAUGCAAGUUGAAAGACUGACUAAGGACUUCUCCGAUGCACUUAGUAACUUCCAGGUCGCACAGCAACGCGUGGCAGAGAAGGAAAGGGCAAGCAUUGCUAAGGCACGCAGCCAGGCAGGAGGGAAAUCUAUACCGUACUUUGAUGAGCGUGCAAGCACACAGAGUGAUGACCAGCUCAUUAGUCUCAGUACAGGGGGCUUCCAGUCGCAGGCUCAAGCACAGCUAGAAGACGUUGAUCUUGACCUACUGCAGGAGAGGGAAACAGCUGUCAGGCGAUUAGAGGAGGAUAUACAAGAUGUAAACCAGAUUUUUAAAGAUCUUGGCAUGAUGGUUCACGAGCAAGGUGAAGUGAUUGAUUCCAUAGAAGCCAAUGUAGAGACUGCUACUAUACAUGUUGAGGAAGGUACCAGCUCACUGAGGAAGGCUGCGGAACAUCAGCUAGGUUAGUUUCGUACUACAACCACGUUGAUUUGGUAUGUUGGUGAGAAAUCAUGGUUUACGAUUCAUGGAACGUACAACCUGACAUUGAGCAAAAAUCCAUGCCUUGCUGUCAAAGCCUGAGAGGAAUGCAGCAAUUUACUUGCUUCCUUUCAAAGUCGAGGAAAAAGGCCCUGGCUAUCCUCCUUGUUACCCUCAUCAUCAUACUCGUGUUGGGACUAAUCAUGUGGGCAGUUACACGCUAGACAGCACACGAGUGAAAGGUGUGUAGUAUAGUUAAUGACAUCAUCCAUGGUGAACUUGGUUGGUACUGUUUUCUGUUGAAAGCAAGAACGGAAUGAUAAGAACUACACAAUGCAAUGGAAUAAUAAGAAUAAGAGCACUAGUGAGAAUGAGCAGUCACUGUAAGUAGCUGUGGUAGUGUUGUAGCAAGAAGUUGUGCUACUGGUAUUUUUUAUGUAUAGAAUUGUAUGUUAUGAUCAAGUGAGAUCUAUGAGUUAUAAUAUAAUUUCUGGAGAUACUAAUCAGCCCUAGAUGUUAAAAGUAACAUUGAACACUUUUCAGAUUGCUCUAGAUUCAAUGUAGUCCACCACAACGUAAUUACAGCUUUUAUACAGCUUUAAUCUUUAUUAUAGCAACUAUUCAAUCUGUUAUAAACCUGUGUAUUGAAUGUAUUACACACAAUGCACAAGGUUAUGCCAUACAUAGCUUCAUGUAUUACUGUACUGUGCAUUCUGUGCAAAGAGGUGAUAUUGCCAAUCAGGUUCGCUCUUCCUAUGGCUUUGUACUUCAAUUUGCUUAAAUAUGAAAAAUCACAAACUUAACUUAUAUGGUGCAAAAUAACCAGUGGGGUUCAGGUGAAAGAUGCACUUGCACAGUACACAUGGCGGAAACCUACAUGUAUUUACUAGAAGGUAUGAUGCGAUAAUUUAUGUAAUAAUUGUGUACAGCUAGCUUUUACAUUUCUGUAAGUAGGAUUUAAAAUGUAAUGAAUUUGCUUUCGAUUAAAUUCCACCACUGAGUAGUCACUGUGGGCAUUUUUGGUAAUGCUCAUGUACCAAGUAGACAUACGAUGUUAUCAAGCUACAUGCAUAUACAUUAUUUAUUAUAAGUAUAAAAUAGACACUUGUAAGAAUGAUCGAUAAUUUCUCUAUACAUUAGCGAGAGUAUUUUUUCACUUGCCAAAGAUGUGCUUGUUUGUUAAGUUUAUUUAUACAUAUGUAGUUUUUUCUUUCUGAAAUUCUAUGAACACAGUAUAUAUUAAAUGAAUAAGUUCAUGUUUUAAUGAGAGUGCAUGGCAGGACAUUCAUUAGUCACAAAAAUCGAUAUUUAAUUAAUUAUAUGCAGACGUGUACCAGUAUCAUUAUAUACAGAAAGCUUAAAAAGUUGUGGAAUCAAUGAAAUGUAUUAACAAUGAAUGCUUCAGAUUGACAAAAUAUUAAUUUUACGCAGUCUACUUGAGUGUCUGUUGCUAUUUGAUCAGUAGGGAUCUACAUAAUGUGUAUAACGGAAUUGCUCACAAGUUAAUAAUUGUAUAAAGAUUAUUACAAGUAACAAAUUAUCUACUAAGUAAUUUUAACCUUUUGUGUGGUAGAGAAAAUAUUUGCUGUAGGUUUUAUCAUGCUGCAUUAUUAAAUAAACGAAUUUUAUGUUGGAUGUUCAAGAAGCAUUGCAUUGUGCAUGACACUUUGGUAUCUAACCAAGAGCAUCUGUUAGUUAUUUUCCCCAGUAUGGAAUAACUAGUGUUACUUAUUCCUCAACCUUCAACCUUCAACCCUU
RNAcentral lists this unclassified non-coding RNA (2814 nucleotides) under Priapulus caudatus. RNAcentral's name for it is "syntaxin-12-like, transcript variant X4". The record is from RNAcentral. Lineage: Eukaryota; Metazoa; Priapulida; Priapulimorpha; Priapulimorphida; Priapulidae.